ACGUAAAAUGCAUGUUUAUUCAAACAAUUCUAGUGUAUUCUUUUGCUUAACCUUUGCUCCUGUUUAAUUAUUAUUCAAAGACGCGGUUAUGCUAUCGGCACCAUAAAAUUGUUAGGCCGAAUUUUGACCCCAAGUUUCUUUUUUCGUGUGUACAUACAAUGUCCAAGUUAAGAAUACUCGAAAUAGUAUUAAAAAUGACAAUACUACUAUGUUAAUGAUAAAAUAAAUCUAUUUGCAGAGAAUAUGUGCUUAGAAGUGGUAUAAUAAUUAAUUAUUCAAGAUUUAUAUGAAACUAUGCAUUCAUUCCAAUGAAAAAAAGCCACUUGUUUGGAAGAAAAUUAUAAAAAAAAAAAUCAUAAACAUAGUGAAAAAUGAAAACUGGUGUAAAAUAUAAAACUCAAAUAACUUUAUGAACAAAAAAGAAAUUAUUGAAAAAAAAAAAUAUAAGGCCAAUACUAAUUGGACUUUUGGGCGUGUUCUUAUGUUUGAGGUCGAAUUUUUUACAUUUACGCCAAAUAUAUACGUUUAUUGUAAUAAUUAGAUUGAAGUUCACUUUAAUAGUGAUCUCAUUACAAAUAUUCAUUUGUAUUUUAAUAAUUUUGUUAUCAAAUACGACAAAUAAAAUCCACUUACAAA
Long non-coding RNA from Bombyx mori (domestic silkworm), 636 nucleotides. RefSeq lists it as uncharacterized. NCBI's taxonomy places the organism in Eukaryota, Metazoa, Arthropoda, Insecta, Lepidoptera, Bombycidae. The transcript is spliced from 2 exons. The record is from RefSeq and is a predicted model, not a curated record.